UUUGGUCUGGGCGUGCGAUCGAGAGAAGGAACCAAGGGAACCAAAACCCUAAACAACCUAAAAUCAUCAAAUUGAAAGGGGAAUCGAGGGCUGAUCGAAUGCAUGAGAACGUGUCAAGGAGAGCUCAAGCAUAGGAGGAUAACGGGUCAAGAUAAGGCAAGGUGACAAAUACACUUAUUGGAAUACUCAAGGUUAUGAAUGUCGGACUUUCGAAGUGUUGAUAUAAUAAUGAAACGGUUGAAUGUUGAAAGGAUAAUCGGAUUGAAGUAACUUAUGCGGUUAGAAUAUGCUAUGGACGUUUUAGUUUAUACAAUAUUAUAUGUUUGGUCGUCACCAUCUACUAACAGGUUAGUUGUAUGAGAGUAUAUGUCAUACCCAUUUAAUUGGGUAAUCGAAUGCGUAAGAAAAAUGAAAGUACGCACACGAAUGGAACUAAAAUGACGGUUUUAUAAGCAAACAAGUAUAAUGACUAACUUUUUAAAGCUUUGUUGUUGAAUGUAGGUAAAUCCUCAAUU
This 515-nucleotide long non-coding RNA is filed under the name Helianthus annuus (common sunflower). The record is from RNAcentral. Lineage: Eukaryota; Viridiplantae; Streptophyta; Magnoliopsida; Asterales; Asteraceae.